This 1312-nucleotide unclassified non-coding RNA is filed under the name Hevea brasiliensis (rubber tree). The record is from RNAcentral. Lineage: Eukaryota; Viridiplantae; Streptophyta; Magnoliopsida; Malpighiales; Euphorbiaceae.
AAGCGAGUUCUCCCGUUCUAAAAUACCAUAACAUCUUCAUCUCAUAGUAAGCUGGCAGCUGCUUAUAAACUAUGCAUCCGAAGAAGAACUAUUUUCUGCAACCGUUGUGCGUAUAAUGGAUAGUUCUUGACUGUUAAUUAUAAUGUCAUUCACAUGAGAUUUACUAUAAUUAAUGUUUAUAAUACAACUGUUGUACAUACGAUGAUUGCAUUCCGCUCAUAUCCGAAUCGUGAAUCUUGUAGUAUUUUGUUUUUCUUGAUACAAGCAAUACAUAGUAAACAAGAGUUUCUUAUCAAUAAAUUUAACAAAUUUUUCGUGAUUAUCUAGAUUCUGCUCCUCAUUGAAGGCCAGUGUCAUGAGUCCUCCAAAUGAUGAUCAGUCUCGUCAUAGAUCUCCUCCUGUAAAAGCUCUUCAAUGACAUCUUCCAUUGUUAUUAUGCCUACAGCUUCUUCUUCUUCAGGAAUUUGAGGAAGUGGAUUGUCAUUUAUAUGCAAGAUGUCUGAGUCAAUGUCCUUUGUCCACUUCUUGCUCCUUGAGCCCUUAAAUGAAUUGCUUCCCUUAAAUGAAUUGCUUCUACUACUGGGAAAGCUCCUCCGCCUUCUGAUCUUUAAAGCAUUCUCUUGAGGAGGCUUUUCGCCAUCAAUAUCAACUCUAACUUCUUUUACUGGAUCUAUUUUGUAUGGGAUACACAGAGCGAGAGAGAGCAGAAAUUGUCAAAAUGAUUUUCCAUCAUAAAAAGGGAGAUGUUCGCAUGAUAAUUCUAUUCUGGUACAGCUAAACAGGUUUUGAGAUAAAAAGGAAUUAUCAAGAUAAAUAACGGUAGGAAGUUUUUACUCACUACUACCAGCAUCGCCUGUUGUCUUCUCCUCAGUCUUGUUGCACUGUCUUACAACAACAGCCAUGUGGCUGUGACCUUUCUGAAACUCAUUCAAUAUAUCAUAUAAUGGCAAACUUUCUUGAACCCUGGGAAUCCUACGUAUGGUGACAUUCUUUACAGGUGUUACAUCUUCUGGAUGAAUUGUCAAUAAAUUCUUGACCUAAAAAGAAUGAAAAAAAAAAUGCAUUUUAAAUAUUAAACAUUAUUAAGAAAAUAACAGAAAAACAAUAACAGAAAAACAAGAGAGUAGAAAUCAACCAAAAAUAACUGGCAACAAAUUUGUUACACGAGACCAAGAUGAAAGGGAUGAGAGUAAAGGCAAAAGACAAAGGAUGAAUCAAGUGUUUAGUAAGAUCAAUUAGCACACAAUCCACAAUUUCAUUUGGUUAUCCUUCCUAAUGUAAGUUGUAAUUUGCUUCCUUGUGGUUGGGCCUC